GGGGCCCUUGCAGGGCGGAGUGCUGCUGGGCGGCUGUGAAGGUCACGCCCCCUCCCUCUCCGCCCUCACGGCUCAGAAGUGAGAGAGGGCCUCAAGUUCUGUUCUGUGCAGCCGUUCUGGAAGCGAGGCUCCGCCUGUGUGAGUUCAGUGAAUUCCAGCUUCAAAAGGCGAGAUCUCGGUGGGGGAUAGCUCUGAAGCUGGGUCACCAUUUUCAGCUGGAAGGACCUAAAAUGUGCUUUUAAGAUGUGGCCAUAUCGCGCUAUUUUUGUCCAAACAGUUAAAUUCAACAAGUAUUUAUUAUUUACUUUCUCUCAGCGUUGGACAGAAGGGUGAGGGAGUUUUUUCGCUGAAGGUUUUUUCCUGUUCUUGAGCCUUGGGACUAUUCUUAAUGAAUGGCUGUAUCUGGUGAGGCUGAUAAAAUGACCCAUUUUAUAUCAAGAGGGAACCCUACUUUGAAUAUUGUUCUGGCUGGAUGGCAUCACUAACUCGAUGGGCAUGAGUUUGAGUGGACUCCAGGAGCUGGUGAUGGACAGGGAGUCCU
This is a non-coding RNA of Odocoileus virginianus texanus, 541 nucleotides long. NCBI's taxonomy places the organism in Eukaryota, Metazoa, Chordata, Mammalia, Artiodactyla, Cervidae. The record is from RefSeq and is a predicted model, not a curated record.